UCCCUGGUAGCUCAGUUGGUAAAGAAUCUGCCUGCAAUGCAGGAGACCCUGGUUCAAUCCCUGGGUUGGGAA
Molecule: transfer RNA, 72 nt
Filed under: Bos taurus (domestic cattle)
Lineage: Eukaryota; Metazoa; Chordata; Mammalia; Artiodactyla; Bovidae
Also listed under: 2 other names
Rfam family: tRNA
About the family: Transfer RNA (tRNA) molecules are approximately 80 nucleotides in length.
Source: Rfam by way of RNAcentral